Non-coding RNA from Myodes glareolus (Bank vole), 2954 nucleotides. Lineage: Eukaryota; Metazoa; Chordata; Mammalia; Rodentia; Cricetidae. The record is from RefSeq and is a predicted model, not a curated record.
CAGGCUGGUCCACUGUAACAGUUACCUGGCAGCUCAGAGCCCCCUGCAGGACCGAGAUAUGUUGCACAGGAUGGUGACCGAGGGCACCCAUGGAGGAUUUCACACGGAUGUAACCCUCUGAGGGGCGAGCAUAAGCUGUCAAGUACGUGGGGAGGCACACAGGCACAAACAGCCGGCCCUGGAGUCAGGUAAUUGGCCUUGAACAGGCUCCAGCCUUCUUUCCCAGCUGGCCUCUAUCUGUUUCGACUCUGCCAAGGUCCUGGAGGACUUCCUCUAGCUGAGAAAGAUGUUAAGGACAACGCCAGGUGCCACGCUGCGGAGUCCUUCCCCUGCCCACUUAUCCUUCUACCGUGAUCGCCUCAUCUAAGCUACACAAGAUGGCUGUCUGCCCUCUCAGCGCCAUGUACUGUCUUCUGGGCGGAGCAUGACAAGGACUGUCUUAAGGACCUCGAAAGGCAGUAUGUUGUCAAGUUGAAGCCCAACAAUAUCCAGGAAUGAGCCUUACGAAGAGAUUGGGGGUGGAGCCUCAGGAGCCCCCUAAAGUGUGACAAUUCUCAAAGUCAGAACAGACUUAGGUGGCCAGAGAGACCAUUGAGACAGUUCGGGGAAGCACAGGCACCCAGCACGAGAGGUGAUGCCACAUAACCAAAUCCCUGACAUCGAUCCUGACAUCGAUCGCGCUGUCGCCCUCUGAGGCUGGGAUCUUCACUGUACUGACUCCAGAUAGGAUUAUGUUUACCCACAAGACAAUCAGGAACCACUGAAGCACCGAAGAGCAACAGGAAGCCAAGAUCUUUGCUGCCCUGUCCUGUCUUUGGAGAAGUCCCCAUGUGACAAGCAACUGCAACGGGAGCCUCAGCCGACACUCAGGUUUUGAGCCUCUUAAACACUGGAAGCUUGGCCUAGGGACUGCCGACCAGAGAUGCUUGAGCCAGAGACACAAAUGACCAGAGAUGUCUGAGCCAGACAUUGCUGACCAGAGAUGCUUGAGCCAGAGACACAAAUGACCAGAGAUGUCUGAGCCAGACAUUGCUGACCAGGGAUGCCUGAGCCAGACACAUACCUGACCAGGAGAUGCCUGAACCAGGGAUGCUUGAGCCAGAGACAUACCUGCCUAGAGAUGCCUGGGCCAGACACUGCUGACCAGAGAUGCCCGAGCCCGAGAGACUGCUGAUCAGAGAUGUCUGAGCUUCAAGGACUUGCUUCAAAGUAAUCCUUAACUGAGAGGUGAAGUUCAUAGGCUCCUGGACGGUUCUCACUUCCCAGAAUGCUGUAUGAAUUAAAGACACAAAAUAAAUUAAAGGUACGAAAUGAGCCAAACUUUUACUCAUGGUUCUUGAUGUCAAACCCAUGUCUUGAGAUGCCUGUACCUGAUAGCUUCAUUGGUGGUGAGUAUAUCAGUCGGGAUGGGAAAUAAAAUUGUUAAAUUUAGUUACUAGAUACAUUUAGUUAUUAGAUACAGAGGCUCUGGAUUGAUAAUGGGUAAUAGAAUCUGGGUAAGGGAUACUGUUGGGAGAAUAUCUGUGCUAUUUCUUUGUCAGAAACUGAGAAUCUUCUGACCCCCAGCGAAACUUUUAUUUCAAGGAGCCUUAACUCAGAAUGGGCAAAAAGCAUCAUUUCCAAGAUGCUAAAAUUGGUGCACAUCUCUAGGGCACAUUAUCAGUUUCUUCCUUCUAACAACAGUUAGCCUGUACUAGUACAACCAAUGAAAGCUCGCUGUAUAGGAUGGCAUGUUAGAGAGAUGAAGGGUGGAGUGCAUGGAAUUACACAGCCAGAUGUCUAGACAUCUGGUUAUGGUGUCUCAAGACACUACAGUUAAAUCUUUGCCCAAGUUAUUUACAGAAAAUAGAUGUUGUAUAUGUUGAAGACAUUUAAAUUAGAUCAAGGUUCUUGUUUGAUUUGAAGUGGAAGGCUACAGUUCUGUGAGCUGAUUUGUUAACAGAAUUACUAGGAUUCUUGAUGCACAUGGCAGGAGACAGGGGUUUACCAUGUAGCUUUGGCUGACUGGGAGUUUACUACAUAGACAAAGCUGGUCUUGAACUCACAGAUCCACCUGUCUGUGCAUGCUGGAAUUGAAGGUAUGAGCCACAAGAGAGUGAGCUAGUCAAAGCACAGUGCUCUUACGGGUAUGUUUUGUUACACAGAAAUCUCUUGGGCCCUGUCCUAUUUUCCUUUCGCACCUCUGGGUCAGCUCAUUUAGAUUUAGAAAAAGAUUAGUAGGGAGAAAAUUCUCAAGCUAUCCAAUCAUAUAUUUGAUAUAUCCUCUUAACAUUUCAAGGGGCCUCCAAACAAAUAUAUUAAAGACUCUUGCUAUCAUUUUUACCAUUUCAGUCAAUCAUCAUUCACCUGACCUCUUGGUCAGGCCUCAAACCAGAAUCCCGCUUCUUGUAUUCAUGUAUCUUCUCCUCACAGGGGAUCUGUUCCACUUUCUAUGUCACAAUGGAAUGCUGACCCUAUGACGCUACAGUGUUACAGUUCCCAUGUUCCAGCUUCCAGUGGAUUUUGAAAAACAACCCUCCCAUAAGGACAUCAGAAAAGGCUUGGUCCCAGCAUGAAAACUUCCACAAAGGGGCGGAACAUGGCCGUGGUCUGCCAGUUUAGAUCGUUGAUAGCAAUCACUGAAAAGCAGAAGCCAAGUUUCAGCAAACUGUUCUGUGUUCUGUGGAAACUAGAUUCCUUCAAUAGCCUAGAAGUUGUACUUGAGUGUACCCCAACUGGACCCACAAGGAAACGUUCCACAAGUUGAAAUACUCAAUACCUGAGAAUGCCCUGUGACUUUAUGCUCUCCCGUCCCUGGGGUGGUGGUGACAUCCACAUGGACAGAGAUCUGACCUACAGAAUCUUUGGAGGAGCGACCUGCAAACAGAAGAAAUGUACUAGCUUGAAUGUUCAGGUUGCAUGCCUUAUUAUCUUUGCCUAAGAAUUAAAUAUUGUUUUUUUCUAUUAAUAUCAUA